Non-coding RNA from Lactuca sativa (garden lettuce), 1144 nucleotides. Lineage: Eukaryota; Viridiplantae; Streptophyta; Magnoliopsida; Asterales; Asteraceae. The record is from RefSeq and is a predicted model, not a curated record.
GAAGAAUGUACUAAUCCUUUCCGCAGGCAGUGAAUUUCUUCGUUUUUGUAUUCGAUAGGCGUUGCGUUCAGUGGCUAUGGUGGAAUAGUAAGACGCAAGCAAAACGAUUGAUCGAACUGUUGAUCCGAUCGAACACUCACCCGAGUCUUUGUAGAGCUUUCAUACAAAGGUGGUUGAUCGUCCUUCAAGUAAAUCAAAUGCCUGAGAGGCUUCGUGUUAUCGAGAUGCCCGGUAUCCAUAAUGCGAAGAAUCGUUAGGUACGCUUCAAUCUGCCUCUUUUCAUCUAAUUAUCAGUGUAAAAAAAUUCAACUUAGUUAUGAAAAUUGAUGCAUACACGUUCAUUAAGUGAUGAUAUGUAACAUUUUUGGUCUUACUAAUGUGGUGAUUGCAAAGGUCUAAUUGGUCUUUGAGAUGAUCAUGAAUAUUGCUGAUCUUGUGGGCCAAACUCGAUAACUCCCAAGCUUCUGUGGUCGUCGUAAUAUGCCUAAGUUAAAAAAAAAAAUGUUAUAUUCAUUGAUAAGUUGUAGUAAUGGAAGUAAUUUGUGUUUUUCUAUGAUGAGGGUAUUUAUGUCUUUUGCAUAGAAAAAAAAAAAGAGAAUUGAUAACAUACUCAUGGCCCAUUCCGAUAAGGUUGAUAAGUAUGGACGCACAAGCCACAAUGCUACGGAUAAUCCAAUAAACCGCAGUGGGAAUAUGAGCGGUGGCCGUCAUUAAUUCCGGUGUUUCGGGGGUGAUAUACUGACCGGGGAGCUCUUUAAAUUCAACAAUGCAACGUGUCAACUCAAGCAUGGCCUUAAUGAGGGUGGUGACAGCCUCAAACCUCGGUUUGAGAGCUUCACCACGCUCAAGCACGUCAGGUAGCUGCUUAAGGUGGGCCAGUGAUUUGGCGAGUGGGUUGGCAGUAUAAAGCUGUGCCACCAACCAAAACUCGCCAUAAUUCACUGCAAAAGCUGCUAAAGAAAUAACAGCUUUUGCAUCCCACUCGUAGUUGGAAAGCAUGUUGAAGAUCCCCGUAGUGCUUGCAUGCGCGUCUCCACCACCAAUACACUUGCAAGAAAUCUGUAACACAUUUCAAAUGUAAAAAAUCUAACACAAAAAAAUAGUUCUCAAAAAUUAAAAUGCAUUUUUUUUUACGGUUUUACCU